Molecule: ribosomal RNA, 557 nt
Filed under: uncultured Penicillium
Lineage: Eukaryota; Fungi; Ascomycota; Eurotiomycetes; Eurotiales; Aspergillaceae
Description: SSU rRNA
Rfam family: Eukaryotic small subunit ribosomal RNA
Source: RNAcentral
UGGAAGGGGUGUAUUUAUUAGAUAAAAAACCAACGCCCUUCGGGGCUCCUUGGUGAAUCAUAAUAACUUAACGAAUCGCAUGGCCUUGUGCCGGCGAUGGUUCAUUCAAAUUUCUGCCCUAUCAACUUUCGAUGGUAGGAUAGUGGCCUACCAUGGUUUCAACGGGUAACGGGGAAUUAGGGUUCUAUUCCGGAGAGGGAGCCUGAGAAACGGCUACCACAUCCGAGGAAGGCAGCAGGCGCGCAAAUUACCCAAUCCCGAUACGGGGAGGUAGUGACAAUAAAUACUGAUACGGGGCUCUUUUGGGUCUCGUAAUUGGAAUGAGAACAAUUUAAAUCCCUUAACGAGGAACAAUUGGAGGGCAAGUCUGGUGCCAGCAGCCGCGGUAAUUCCAGCUCCAAUAGCGUAUAUUAAAGUUGUUGCAGUUAAAAAGCUCGUAGUUGAACCUUGGGUCUGGCUGGCCGGUCCGCCUCACCGCGAGUACUGGUCCGGCUGGACCUUUCCUUCUGGGGAACCCCAUGGCCUUCACUGGCUGUGGGGGGAACCAGGACUUUUAC